Molecule: transfer RNA, 92 nt
Filed under: Hypoxylon sp. EC38
Lineage: Eukaryota; Fungi; Ascomycota; Sordariomycetes; Xylariales; Hypoxylaceae
Description: tRNA-Phe
Rfam family: tRNA
About the family: Transfer RNA (tRNA) molecules are approximately 80 nucleotides in length.
Source: RNAcentral
GCGGGGAUAGCUCAGUUGGGAGAGCGUCAGACUGAAGAUAAAACUUCAAUCAUGGAAUCUGAAGGUCGUGCGUUCGAUCCGCACUCACCGCA